RNAcentral lists this ribosomal RNA (551 nucleotides) under uncultured Acidobacteriota bacterium. Its description in RNAcentral is "bacterial SSU rRNA". It matches the Rfam family "Bacterial small subunit ribosomal RNA", at positions 355 to 897 of the family's 1533-position model. The record is from RNAcentral. Lineage: Bacteria; Pseudomonadati; Acidobacteriota.
UGGGGAAUUUUGCGCAAUGAGCUAACGCCUGACGCAGCAACGCCGCGUGGAGGAUGAAGGUCUUUGGAUUGUAAACUCCUGUCAGCGGGGAAAAAGCGACUCGUGCUCAUACCACGGGGAGUUGAUUGUACCCGCAGAGGAAGCCCCGGCUAACUCUGUGCCAGCAGCCGCGGUAAUACAGAGGGGGCAAGCGUUAUUCGGAAUUAUUGGGCGUAAAGGGCGCGUAGGCGGCUUAGCAAGUGACGGGUGAAAUCCCUCGGCUUAACCGAGGAAUUGCCCGUCAGACUGCUUUGCUUGAGGCCGGGAGAGGCGAGUGGAAUUCCCAGUGUAGCGGUGAAAUGCGUAGAUAUUGGGAGGAACACCAGUGGCGAAGGCGGCUCGCUGGACCGGUUCUGACGCUGAGGCGCGAAAGCGUGGGGAGCAAACAGGAUUAGAUACCCUGGUAGUCCACGCCGUAAACGAUGAGUGCUUGGUGUAGCGGGUAUCGACCCCUGCUGUGCCGAAGUCAACACAUUAAGCACUCCGCCUGGGGAGUACGGUCGCAAGGCUGA